CUUUGGCAGAACACAGAUAUACUAAAAUUGAAACGAUGAAGAGCAGAUUGGCAUGGCCCCUGCGCAAGGAUGACACAUAAAGUCAAGACCGAUACACAACAAAU
This is a small nuclear RNA of Teleopsis dalmanni, 104 nucleotides long. NCBI's taxonomy places the organism in Eukaryota, Metazoa, Arthropoda, Insecta, Diptera, Diopsidae. The record is from RefSeq and is a predicted model, not a curated record.